GUUUCUGCCUUUUUCAACUUUGAGAAGGUUUUGAUGCUGCGCGGUUUUUAUAGUUGAUCCACCAGAGCUUCUGGCCACUGCCGGAGCUGCUGCCGGGCCGGUUCAAAAUCGCAGCUACUUCGUGUUAAAAUUCCGAGCUGAUUAUGCUGCUGCGAAAAUGUGUGGGGCUGUGCUUUGAAGCUGCCUUUGAUUUCGAGUUGAGGCGAAAAGAACUUGAUGAGGCGUUUGGGUUAUGGAAUUUCGUUUUGAGGAUAUGGGCGCAGAAGUUAUGAAGAGCUUAUUUAAUUGUUGUUGUGAUGCUCUGU
Molecule: non-coding RNA, 305 nt
Organism: Arachis ipaensis
Lineage: Eukaryota; Viridiplantae; Streptophyta; Magnoliopsida; Fabales; Fabaceae
Source: RefSeq, a predicted model, not a curated record